GACCUCAAAUCAGGUAGGAUUACCCGCUGAACUUAAGCAUAUCAAUA
This 47-nucleotide ribosomal RNA is filed under the name Gloeophyllum subferrugineum. Its description in RNAcentral is "partial 28S large subunit ribosomal RNA". Lineage: Eukaryota; Fungi; Basidiomycota; Agaricomycetes; Gloeophyllales; Gloeophyllaceae. The record is from RNAcentral. RNAcentral also lists the same sequence under 1 other name.